Molecule: ribosomal RNA, 465 nt
Filed under: Vreelandella stevensii
Lineage: Bacteria; Pseudomonadati; Pseudomonadota; Gammaproteobacteria; Oceanospirillales; Halomonadaceae
Description: partial 16S ribosomal RNA
Rfam family: Bacterial small subunit ribosomal RNA
Source: RNAcentral
CCUACGGGUGGCUGCAGUGGGGAAUAUUGGACAAUGGGGGCAACCCUGAUCCAGCCAUGCCGCGUGUGUGAAGAAGGCCCUCGGGUUGUAAAGCACUUUCAGUGAGGAAGAACGCCUGGUGGUUAAUACCCAUCAGGAAAGACAUCACUCACAGAAGAAGCACCGGCUAACUCCGUGCCAGCAGCCGCGGUAAUACGGAGGGUGCGAGCGUUAAUCGGAAUUACUGGGCGUAAAGCGCGCGUAGGUGGCUUGAUAAGCCGGUUGUGAAAGCCCCGGGCUCAACCUGGGAACGGCAUCCGGAACUGUCAAGCUAGAGUGCAGGAGAGGAAGGUAGAAUUCCUGGUGUAGCGGUGAAAUGCGUAGAGAUCGGGAGGAAUACCAGUGGCGAAGGCGGCCUUCUGGACUGACACUGACACUGAGGUGCGAAAGCGUGGGUAGCAAACAGGAUUAGAUACCCUGGUAGUC